RNAcentral lists this ribosomal RNA (240 nucleotides) under uncultured Staphylococcus sp. Its description in RNAcentral is "partial 16S ribosomal RNA". It matches the Rfam family "Bacterial small subunit ribosomal RNA", at positions 100 to 334 of the family's 1533-position model. The record is from RNAcentral. Lineage: Bacteria; Bacillati; Bacillota; Bacilli; Caryophanales; Staphylococcaceae.
GGACGGGUGAGUAACACGUGGAUAACCUACCUAUAAGACUGGGAUAACUUCGGGGAACCGGAGCUAAUACCGGAUAAUAUAUUGAACCGCAUGGUUCAAUAGUGAAAGACGGUUUUGCUGUCACUUAUAGAUGGAUCCGCGCCGCAUUAGCUAGUUGGUAAGGUAACGGCUUACCAAGGCAACGAUGCGUAGCCGACCUGAGAGGGUGAUCGGCCACACUGGAACUGAGACACGGUCCAG